This is a long non-coding RNA of Scylla paramamosain (green mud crab), 3062 nucleotides long. RefSeq lists it as uncharacterized. The record is from RefSeq and is a predicted model, not a curated record. The transcript is spliced from 2 exons. NCBI's taxonomy places the organism in Eukaryota, Metazoa, Arthropoda, Malacostraca, Decapoda, Portunidae.
CUACUACUACUACUACUAGCACCAUUACAAAGAAUUGCAAUGCUCAGUCACGCAAGGUUUUCCCCUCUUCUGUUCCCUCCACUGCCUGCUUCCUUCCCUCUCCUCCACCCUUCCCACACUUGCCUCUUCCAGCGUCCCUUAGCAAACCUUGGAAUGCCACCGUGUGUUUCCCAGAAGAGUGGAUGUGUUCAGGCUUCUUAAUCCUUCACUCACUCCCACCCACCCACCCACACACACACACACACACCCACCCACACACACACACACACAUGUAUUUGGUAAAGCCUGUAGCUAAAUGAAGACCAGCCAUGCUAAUGUACUAACCGUGGUUCGUAUUUUGAAACCGUGUUCUCUCUUUUAUUUACUUAUUUUAUGUUGUUGUUAUUGUUGGUGGUAGUGGUGGUGGCGCUGGUGGUAAUAUUAUUGUUGUUGUUGUUGUUGUUGUUGGUGGUGGUGGUGGUGGUGGUGGUGGUGGUGGCGGUAAUAUUAUUGCUGUUACUAUUAUUGUUGUUGUUAUUGUUAGUGGUGGAGAUGGUGGUGGUGGUAAUAUUAUUGCUGUUACUAUUAUUAUUCUUGUUAUUGAUGUUUUUUUUUUUCACUAGAACUAGAACUGUCGUGAAAGCACCCAUGAUAACCGCAAACGACUUCCACUAGAGCCUGUUAAACUGUCCCCAGAAUUAAGAAAAUACUCAAAAUACCAAUGAUUCUUAAGAAAAAUUGUUAAACUACCACAAGAAUCGUGAAAACACCCGCGAAAACCCUGAUAAUAAUAACUUCCAGUAGAUCACCGUCAAACUACCACUGGAAUUAUGAAAAACACCCAUGAAAACAACAACAGCUUCGACAAGAGCCUAUCAGAAGUACAACCAAGUCCCAGUCCACAGCCAAUGCUCUUCAGUGCUUUGGACUCCCAUCACGACAUUUUGAAAGACAACACAUGAUGGGUUAAGUUUUCAUGUGUGUUUUACUUAUUUAAUUUCAUUGAGUUUGCUUUUUUUUUCAUCGAUAUGCAGAACUACUGUUAAACUAUCACUAGGAUCAUAAAAACACCCUUGAAAGAAAAAUCAUUACCUGCUAAAAAUUCUAAUUAAAGCGCCGAAUAAAUAAAUAAAUAAAGUAUAGGGCAAUAACAUCAUUCACAGCCUUUAGCAAGUACCUUUAUCACUCACUGCUUUGUCCCGCCGUCUGUUCCUCUUUCAAGUUAUUUUUUUUUUAUUAUUAUUUAUUUCCUUUAGUUGAGAUAAAGCACCAAUUAAGAAAACGGGGCCAUAUUAAAAAAAAAAAAAAUCAUUAGUAUCUAGUUUUAUGACCCACCGGUUUGUCCUGCCGUCUGCUCCUCAGUGUAAUCCCUUCUUUUUAUUGUAUAUUUUCUUUAGUUGAGAUAAAGCCCUGAUUAAAAUAAAAGUAUGGGUCCUCUUAUUAUUCAGACUAUCGUUAGUAUCUCGUCUUAUUACCCACCAGUUUGUUUUAUCGUCUGUUCCUCAGUAUAAUGCCUUCUUUUUAUAAUUUUUUUUUUUUUUUUUGGUCGAGAUAAAGCACCGAUUAAAAACAUGGAUCCCCUUAAUAUCACUCAAUCAUUAUUAUCUCGUUUUAUUGCCCACCAGUUUGUUCUGCCGUCUAAUCCUCUGUGAAGUACCUAUUCUUCAUCAUUUCUAUCAGUCAUCGUACGUAUAUAAUCGACAGGAAGUCUUCAAGAUAUACGUACAGUACUAUAGGGUCCGUAUUUUCAAACAUUUCUGCAUCCUUCUACGUUGAACUGGAUGUAGUGGAAGUCACUUGGGUUCUCCCGGAUUCUGUCAUGAGUCCAGUGAUAGUGUAACCCUUUGACUGCUAUUUGGUACACAUUUCCGUAAUUAUUUAUCACUCUGAGACAUCUUUACUUGAUACAUAGCCACAUCCUGGGAAGAACUGGGAAGAAAUUGCAAAAUGUACACUUUUUCAUUGUUAAUUUUUCUUGUAGAUGCUUAUAAAUAUCCCAUGCAUUACCUCUGGUGUUGUUGUUUCGUAUUGCAGUGAUAGAUUAACAAUAAUUCCCCACCGUCCAUAAGAAAAACCACUCACAGGAACACAGCUACCCGUGAGUGUGACCUGCGAAAAUAGUAUCCGUGGGAAGACAAAGGAUUUCAAGAGAACGAUUCAUUAUUCACGAGAUUUCUUUGACGUCUGUUCCUCUUUGAAGUUUUUUUUUUUUUUUCUUACUUAGACCUGCAUAUGUGAACAAUUAAUAGCGACCGCGGGGUAGCGUGUCCCAGGCGUCAAAAAACCUACUCACGUCAAAUUCAAAUAGCAAGGGUCGCUGCUUGGAGAAUAAACAGCUUGAGAGGCAGAGUGCGUGAGGAUCAACAUUCACGCGCGCUAGCUUCCUCGCCCUCCGUCCCUCCCACCUCUCUAAUUUCUUCCCCAAUUUUUUUUUUUUACUUUCUUUGUUAAUACAUUCUCAUAAGGAAUUUCCCAAGUGGUGAUGGAUCGAACAAGAGAGAGAGAGAGAGAGAGAGAGAGAGAGAGAGAGAGAGAGAGAGAGAGAGAGAGAGAGAGAGAGAGAGAGAGAGAGAGACGCGGAGGGAGAGAGGCGCGGAGUGAGGAGAGUUCUGGGAAUGCAUAGUGGUGGCGUGCAUGAGCUAAAUGCAUCAAGGCCUCUCAACUAUUAAAACCGACUCGCUUACUUAGUUACUUUAGUUAGCUACUUUCUCAAUUACUUGCCUAUCUACCCAUCUACCAACUUAGUUAUUCAUCUACUUGCAUACUUCAAUGGUAGUUACGAAACACCGUUAUAUAUAUAUAUUUUUUUUUUUGUCCACUUCUAGCCACACUGGGUGAAGUAGCGAUAAAUAUGGUCACUAUCUAAAAAAUAAUGAUAACGAUAACAAUGAUGAAAAAGGAAAGAGACAGAAAGGAAUGAUAAAUGUGAGUAAAUAAAUAAAUACAGUAAUGAUAACAAAUGAAGCUGUAAAAAUAAAUUAAUAAAUACAGUAAAAAAGAAAGGAUAAACAAAUGAAGAGAUACAGUGAUGAUAAUAACAAAUAAAGCUACAAAAUAAAGAAAUAAAAAAAUACAGUAAUGAU